UACGCCGCCGGCCCUGACUCCUCCAACGCUCGCCGCCAUGGCCGAGGAUACGGUACACGAGCACGGAAGCGGGUGGGAUAGUGUGGUAAUUGGCGCCUCCCAGCAGCAGAGAGCGAGAGAGAUUUAGUAGCUGACCAUCACGCCGAGGGAUGCAAGCAGCAACGGCACCCAGGUGCCCAUGACGGCGAGUGGGAUGAGAAAGGGGCUACAAAAGCGUCAGAGUUGGAGGCGCGGUGGCUGGGAAAAGAGCCAGCGGGAGACGGGGAGGCUCGCCAGAGGACGCGCGCGGCGGCGCGGUCGCGUGUGAGGCGGCCGGCUACAGGGGCGUGCAGGCGGCGCUCGGGCACUGGCGACGCCAUGGUCUUCUGGCGAGGCGGGCGAGCACAUACAUGAAGGCCGCGGGGGGCACGCUGCCCGGGCGACGAAGGAGGCGGUCGUCACCGGUGGCGGGGCCGGAUGCGUCGGAUGCGCGCGCUUGCCUGCAGUCAACGCAGACAGACAUAGCGGCCAUCCAUGGCAGCGAGCGGCUCCGGGGGCGGCGACGGGGUUGGGUGGUUCAAGCGGCCGCUUCUGCAGCUACAUGGGAGACGUCCAGCAGUGAUUUAGUAGGAUGUCGACCCUAAACAAUGGAAAACAAGCAUCCGAUGGAGAAGUGUUGUUCUGAAAAAUGGGUUCAUAACUUCAUAUGCUAAACUGAAACCAUGCAUAUUUGAAUAGCAGGAUUAGAGGGUCAGAGUUGGUAGCCAUCUCCUGGACAGGGCGCUCUAGGGCGUGUUGGCGUGCUUGAGCAGACGAAACACUGAUGUUAGCUGCGAGGUGGAGAAGGAAUACGCCAUGGAUGGAUUUUGGUAGGUCUGAUGGCAACAGUUUCAACUUAGUAAGUCAUAUGUUGAUAUUCAUAUGAUUGUGAUCUCGGAAAUAAAAAUUCAUAGGAAAGGAACAGAAACCUUCACUGAACAUAGAGCUGUGUUGUACCUGUACCGAGAAAAGUUUGUAGAGUAUGAAAAUAUGUUCCGAGACGAAACAAAUUAUGAUUAUUAGUCAUAGCAGUUGUAGGAACGGAUGAAAAUUGUAUUGCCGGUUUAGCAGGCGUGCUGGUGCUCACAUGCUUAUCCAUUGUGAUAUGGGUUUGCAGGUCCAAAGGCACAGCAUACUAUGCUCAUGCAUAUGUGACAUAAACCAAUUCUA
Long non-coding RNA from Aegilops tauschii subsp. strangulata, 1188 nucleotides. RefSeq lists it as uncharacterized. NCBI's taxonomy places the organism in Eukaryota, Viridiplantae, Streptophyta, Magnoliopsida, Poales, Poaceae. The record is from RefSeq and is a predicted model, not a curated record.